Molecule: small nuclear RNA, 277 nt
Filed under: Dasypus novemcinctus (nine-banded armadillo)
Lineage: Eukaryota; Metazoa; Chordata; Mammalia; Cingulata; Dasypodidae
Description: 7SK RNA (ENSDNOG00000040835.1)
Rfam family: 7SK RNA
About the family: 7SK was discovered as an abundant small nuclear RNA in the mid-70s but a possible function has only recently been suggested. Two independent studies have found that 7SK RNA binds the CDK9/cyclin T complex (known as elongation factor P-TEFb).
Source: RNAcentral
GGAUACGAGAGCAGUCUGGCUGUGACAUUGGUUGCCACAUUGAUAUUCAGGCUAUUGGCUGGCUAAUUGGCUAAAUUAGUAUUCCCCUCCCUCCCUUACCAUGCCGUGGGCCUCUCUCCUGAAGCUGAAGCCCCAGUGAAAUAUGAUAGCUGGAAGUUCUUUUUCAGUCAUAGUCCUAUCCUUUAUUAGAACCUCCAACUUAACUCUACUUGUGAAAACAGCUAAGGAAUGUUGUAUAUGUUCAUUUUUGCCCUUGUUUGUAAACAUAAGGAAGAAA